AUCCCUGCAAAGAAAAACCGAUUGAGCUGCUAGUUUUCUUCCUGGAUGGUUCUGCCCUCUUGACCUGGGCUUGGAUUCCAGGGUAGAAAUGUUAUUCAAAAUGAGGUGACAAAAUGUAAGCAUAUUUAUGGGGGCAGACGCCAAAAGCAAGUGCAUCCGCCUUCAACUGGGGAAAGAAGGUUGCCCCAUUUCUGCCUGAAGGGAUGCCAUGGGAAUCUGACAAUGGACACCCCACAUUUCCUUGUCAGUUGCUUAAAAUCUGCUCAAGGGCUUGCAAAAUGCUCCAGAGCCUGGAAACCUGAGGAUGGAAGAGGCAGCCUGGGCCAAGAAAACUUCGGAGGGCCGUGAUUACCUACCAUCAAGCUGGGUGGCCUCAAGAUGCCACAAGUGUCACCUUGGGAACAUUGGGGGCAGAUUCAGGCUGGAAGGGAAUGGCCCUGACAUCCCACCAUGCAGAGUGCCCUUCUGGAUCAAGCAUCACAGAUUUCACCCUGUCAGACCAUUCCCAACAAUACUUCUUCCACUGGUCCAUUUAAUGAGAAGGAAAAUGGCUUAAACUGCAAUUCUGUCCAGAAGGCUUGGAAAGCUAGCUUCCCUACAGGACCUUCAAAGAUCCAGGACUUCAAGGUGGGAGAUAUCCAAAGGCCAAGAGGCAGAACAGGGGUUGAUUGAUCAACAGAAGCAACCACCUCCAGGCUCCCUGCCUCCAGCCUUGGCUAGAAACUUACUCUAGAGAAACUGAUCCCAAGAGACACAGGCCUGAAAGUGGGGGAAUCACCUGAGUGUUGGCCUAACGAUAGUGGAACACCCAGCCCACUCCCACAACCCGAUGCCAGAAACAUUCCCAGAACUUGGUGCCUGUACAUUCCUGCAGCCAGAAAACCCCACCCACCCCAUAGGAGAUUGGCGACGUCAUUGGAGAGAGAGUUCCCUCAUGAAAAGGCCAGUUAGCCAAAAUUUUAGUUUGACACCAUUGUGAAGCCUGCUCACCCACAGUUCUGUCCACAGAGAGCUUGCAAAUCGCUUUCAAGACCCCUGUUUAAUUACAAAAGGGCAAUCAAGGAGCACCAAGUUUUAAGAAAAUGUGUAACAAGAAUUAAAGGAGACCGGAGUUCCUGUCGUGGCUCAGUGGUUAACAAACCAGACUAGGAUCCAUGAGGAUGCGGGUUCAAUCCCUGGCCUUGCUCAAUGGGUGGGGGUUCCAGCAUUGCUGUGGUUGUGAUGUAGGCCAGCAGCUGUAGCUCUGAUUCGACCUCUAGCCUGGGAAGGGAACCUCCAUAUGCCAUGGGUAUGGCCCUAAAAAAAAAAAAAAAAAAAAAAAAAAAAA
RNAcentral lists this long non-coding RNA (1327 nucleotides) under Sus scrofa (pig). RNAcentral describes it as "lncRNA (ENSSSCG00065061640.1)". Lineage: Eukaryota; Metazoa; Chordata; Mammalia; Artiodactyla; Suidae. The record is from RNAcentral.